This 809-nucleotide ribosomal RNA is filed under the name Pseudarthrobacter sp. RNAcentral's name for it is "bacterial SSU rRNA". It matches the Rfam family "Bacterial small subunit ribosomal RNA", at positions 63 to 883 of the family's 1533-position model. The record is from RNAcentral. Lineage: Bacteria; Bacillati; Actinomycetota; Actinomycetes; Micrococcales; Micrococcaceae.
CGAACGAUGAUCUCCAGCUUGCUGGGGGGAUUAGUGGCGAACGGGUGAGUAACACGUGAGUAACCUGCCCUUGACUCUGGGAUAAGCCUGGGAAACUGGGUCUAAUACCGGAUAUGACCUUCCAUCGCAUGGUGGUUGGUGGAAAGCUUUUGUGGUUUUGGAUGGACUCGCGGCCUAUCAGCUUGUUGGUGGGGUAAUGGCCUACCAAGGCGACGACGGGUAGCCGGCCUGAGAGGGUGACCGGCCACACUGGGACUGAGACACGGCCCAGACUCCUACGGGAGGCAGCAGUGGGGAAUAUUGCACAAUGGGCGCAAGCCUGAUGCAGCGACGCCGCGUGAGGGAUGACGGCCUUCGGGUUGUAAACCUCUUUCAGUAGGGAAGAAGCGAAAGUGACGGUACCUGCAGAAGAAGCGCCGGCUAACUACGUGCCAGCAGCCGCGGUAAUACGUAGGGCGCAAGCGUUAUCCGGAAUUAUUGGGCGUAAAGAGCUCGUAGGCGGUUUGUCGCGUCUGCCGUGAAAGUCCGGGGCUCAACUCCGGAUCUGCGGUGGGUACGGGCAGACUAGAGUGAUGUAGGGGAGACUGGAAUUCCUGGUGUAGCGGUGAAAUGCGCAGAUAUCAGGAGGAACACCGAUGGCGAAGGCAGGUCUCUGGGCAUUAACUGACGCUGAGGAGCGAAAGCAUGGGGAGCGAACAGGAUUAGAUACCCUGGUAGUCCAUGCCGUAAACGUUGGGCACUAGGUGUGGGGGACAUUCCACGUUUUCCGCGCCGUAGCUAACGCAUUAAGUGCCCCGCCUGGGGAGUAC